RNAcentral lists this ribosomal RNA (551 nucleotides) under uncultured bacterium. Its description in RNAcentral is "bacterial SSU rRNA". It matches the Rfam family "Bacterial small subunit ribosomal RNA", at positions 124 to 708 of the family's 1533-position model. The record is from RNAcentral.
AUCUACCCUUUGGCCUGGAAUAACACGAGGAAACUUGUGCUAAUACCGGAUAAGUCUUUACGGAGAAAGCUUUAUGCACCAUUGGAUGAGCCUGCACUUGAUUAGUUUGUUGGUGGGGUAAUGGCCUACCAAGACUGUGAUCAAUAGCUGAUUUGAGAGGAUGAUCAGCCACAUUGGGACUGAGACACGGCCCAAACUCCUACGGGAGGCAGCAGUGGGGAAUCUUGCACAAUGGAGGAAACUCUGAUGCAGCGAUGCCGCGUGAGUGAAGAAGGCCCUUGGGUUGUAAAGCUCUUUCGUCGGGGAAGAAAAUGACUGUACCCGAAUAAGAAGGUCCGGCUAACUUCGUGCCAGCAGCCGCGGUAAUACGAAGGGACCUAGCGUAGUUCGGAAUUACUGGGCUUAAAGAGUUCGUAGGUGGUUGAAAAAGUUGGUGGUGAAAUCCCAGAGCUUAACUCUGGAACUGCCAUCAAAACUUUUCAGCUAGAGUAUGAUAGAGGGAAGCAGAAUUUCUAGUGUAGAGGUGAAAUUCGUAGAUAUUAGAAAGAAUA